This 254-nucleotide ribosomal RNA is filed under the name uncultured bacterium. Its description in RNAcentral is "partial 16S ribosomal RNA". It matches the Rfam family "Bacterial small subunit ribosomal RNA", at positions 524 to 776 of the family's 1533-position model. The record is from RNAcentral.
UACGUAGGGUGCAAGCGUUGUCCGGAAUUAUUGGGCGUAAAGAGCUCGUAGGCGGUGCGUCACGUCGGCCGUGAAAACCUGCAGCUUAACUGUGGGCGUGCGGUCGAUACGGGCAUCACUGGAGUUCGGCAGGGGAGACUGGAAUUCCUGGUGUAGCGGUGAAAUGCGCAGAUAUCAGGAGGAACACCGGUGGCGAAGGCGGGUCUCUGGGCCGAUACUGACGCUGAGGAGCGAAAGCGUGGGGAGCAAACAGG